GAUGAACGCUGGCGGCGUGCAUAACACAUUCAAGUCGAACGAGGUAGCAAUACCUAGUGGCGGACGGGUGAGUAACGCGUGAGCAACCUGCCCUUGUGUGGGGGAUACCGUCUGGAAACGGACGUUAAUACCGCAUAACGUAGUGAGAUCGCAUGGUCUUAUUACCAAAGAUUUAUUGCGCAAGGAUGGGCUCGCGUUGGAUUAGAUAGUUGGUGAGGUAACGGCCCACCAAGUCUGCGAUCCAUAGCCGGACUGAGAGGUUGAACGGCCACAUUGGAACUGAGAUACGGUCCAG
This 295-nucleotide ribosomal RNA is filed under the name uncultured bacterium. Its description in RNAcentral is "partial 16S ribosomal RNA". It matches the Rfam family "Bacterial small subunit ribosomal RNA", at positions 28 to 334 of the family's 1533-position model. The record is from RNAcentral.